This 1440-nucleotide ribosomal RNA is filed under the name marine bacterium Tw-3. Its description in RNAcentral is "16S ribosomal RNA". It matches the Rfam family "Bacterial small subunit ribosomal RNA". Lineage: Bacteria; Pseudomonadati; Pseudomonadota; Gammaproteobacteria; Alteromonadales; Alteromonadaceae. The record is from RNAcentral.
UGAACGCUGGCGGCAGGCCUAACACAUGCAAGUCGAACGGUAACAGAACUAGCUUGCUAGUUGCUGACGAGUGGCGGACGGGUGAGUAAUGCUUGGGAAUUUGCCUUUAGGUGGGGGACAACAGUUGGAAACGACUGCUAAUACCGCAUAGUAGCUACGGCUUAAAGGGGGCUUCGGCUCUCGCCUUUAGAGAAGCCCAAGUGGGAUUAGGUAGUUGGUGAGGUAAUGGCUCACCAAGCCCACGAUCCCUAGCUGGUCUGAGAGGAUGAUCAGCCACACUGGAACUGAGACACGGUCCAGACUCCUACGGGAGGCAGCAGUGGGGAAUAUUGCACAAUGGGCGAAAGCCUGAUGCAGCCAUGCCGCGUGUGUGAAGAAGGCCUUCGGGUUGUAAAGCACUUUCAGCGAGGAGGAAGGUUAAGUAGUUAAUACCUGCUUGACUUGACGUUACUCGCAGAAGAAGCACCGGCUAACUCCGUGCCAGCAGCCGCGGUAAUACGGAGGGUGCGAGCGUUAAUCGGAAUUACUGGGCGUAAAGCGUACGCAGGCGGCCAUUUAAGUCAGAUGUGAAAGCCCCGGGCUCAACCUGGGAACUGCAUUUGAAACUGGAUGGCUAGAGUGCGACAGAGGGUGGUAGAAUUUCAGGUGUAGCGGUGAAAUGCGUAGAGAUCUGAAGGAAUACCAAUGGCGAAGCAGCCACCUGGGUCGACACUGACGCUCAUGUACGAAAGCGUGGGUAGCAAACAGGAUUAGAUACCCUGGUAGUCCACGCCGUAAACGAUGUCUACUAGCAGUUUGGAGCUUAAGCUCUGUCUUGCGCAGCUAACGCAUUAAGUAGACCGCCUGGGGAGUACGGCCGCAAGGUUAAAACUCAAAUGAAUUGACGGGGGCCCGCACAAGCGGUGGAGCAUGUGGUUUAAUUCGAUGCAACGCGAAGAACCUUACCAUCUCUUGACAUCCAUAGAAUUUAGCAGAGACGCUUUAGUGCCUUCGGGAACUAUGAGACAGGUGCUGCAUGGCUGUCGUCAGCUCGUGUUGUGAAAUGUUGGGUUAAGUCCCGCAACGAGCGCAACCCUUAUCCUUAGUUGCCAGCACGUAAUGGUGGGAACUCUAAGGAGACUGCCGGUGACAAACCGGAGGAAGGUGGGGACGACGUCAAGUCAUCAUGGCCCUUACGAGAUGGGCUACACACGUGCUACAAUGGCAAGUACAAAGGGUUGCAAACUCGCGAGAGUAAGCGGAUCCCAUAAAGCUUGUCGUAGUCCGGAUUGGAGUCUGCAACUCGACUCCAUGAAGUCGGAAUCGCUAGUAAUCGUGGAUCAGAAUGCCACGGUGAAUACGUUCCCGGGCCUUGUACACACCGCCCGUCACACCAUGGGAGUGGGCUGCAAAAGAAGUGGAUAGCUUAACCUUCGGGAGGGCGUUCACCACUUUGUGGUU